ACAUGCCGUCGAGCGAACAGAAGGGAGCUUGCUCCCGGAUGUUAGCGGCGGACGGGUGAGUAACACGUGGGUAACCUGCCUGUAAGACUGGGAUAACUCCGGGAAACCGGAGCUAAUACCGGAUAGUUCCUUGAACCGCAUGGUUCAAGGAUGAAAGACGGUUUCGGCUGUCACUUACAGAUGGACCCGCGGCGCAUUAGCUAGUUGGUGGGGUAAUGGCUCACCAAGGCGACGAUGCGUAGCCGACCUGAGAGGGUGAUCGGCCACACUGGGACUGAGACACGGCCCAGACUCCUACGGGAGGCAGCAGUAGGGAAUCUUCCGCAAUGGACGAAAGUCUGACGGAGCAACGCCGCGUGAGUGAUGAAGGUUUUCGGAUCGUAAAGCUCUGUUGUUAGGGAAGAACAAGUGCGAGAGUAACUGCUCGCACCUUGACGGUACCUAACCAGAAAGCCACGGCUAACUACGUGCCAGCAGCCGCGGUAAUACGUAGGUGGCAAGCGUUGUCCGGAAUUAUUGGGCGUAAAGGGCUCGCAGGCGGUUUCUUAAGUCUGAUGUGAAAGCCCCCGGCUCAACCGGGGAGGGUCAUUGGAAACUGGGAAACUUGAGUGCAGAAGAGGAGAGUGGAAUUCCACGUGUAGCGGUGAAAUGCGUAGAGAUGUGGAGGAACACCAGUGGCGAAGGCGACUCUCUGGUCUGUAACUGACGCUGAGGAGCGAAAGCGUGGGGAGCGAACAGGAUUAGAUACCCUGGGUAGUCCACGCCGUAAAACGAUGAGUGCUAAGUGUU
RNAcentral lists this ribosomal RNA (789 nucleotides) under Bacillus zhangzhouensis. RNAcentral's name for it is "bacterial SSU rRNA". It matches the Rfam family "Bacterial small subunit ribosomal RNA", at positions 53 to 824 of the family's 1533-position model. The record is from RNAcentral. Lineage: Bacteria; Bacillati; Bacillota; Bacilli; Caryophanales; Bacillaceae.